AUGAGUAUAACGGUGAUCGCCCUGCUCGCCUUCACCGCCGGCUUCGCGUGGGCGGUGCGCCGGACGCGCCGCAGCCCGUGCGACCUCGCGUUCGUGAUCACAGCCUACUACCUCGUCGCCGUGCUCUGCUGCUGCGUCAGGAAGCUGCAGCUCCAGCGGCUCGACGACGACCCGUCGUUGGCCCCCGAGCGGCGCCGGGCCAGGCUCGCCGCGUGGGCGGCCUCGGCGCUCUUCGUCGUCGCCUGCUUCGCGUGGGCGGUGUACCGCGCGCGCCGCAGGCCGCGCGCCCUGGCGUUCGUGAUCGCCAUCUACUACCUCAUCGCCGUGCUCUACUGCUGCCUCAGGAAGCUCGAGCUCCUGCGGCUCGAGGACGACCCGGCCGCGGGGCCCGAGCGGCGGCGGACCAGGCUCGCCGCCAUGGCUGUCUCGGUGGCGCAGGGCAGCACGGUUGCGCUGAGUGCCGCGGACAGGAUGCCGAACCUGGCGCUGAAGCUGGCCGUGUUUGGGCUCACCGCCAUGGCGUUGGGCCUCGUGUACUUCUUCAUUUUCAGCCGCGUAGAUGGGGAGUACGGGCGUGCUCAGUCGGAGAGGCCUUUGCACGAGCAAUCCCCGGAGCAGAGGGCCUAG
This 627-nucleotide ribosomal RNA is filed under the name Triticum aestivum (bread wheat). RNAcentral describes it as "partial small subunit ribosomal RNA". Lineage: Eukaryota; Viridiplantae; Streptophyta; Magnoliopsida; Poales; Poaceae. The record is from RNAcentral.